UUUAGAGGGGGAGCACCCCUUCCGCUUUUUAUUUUGCAGGGGGAGCACCCCUUCCCUUCUUUUUUUAGAGGGGGAGCAUCCCUUCCCUUUAAUUUUCGGAGGGGAAGCGUCCCUUCCCUUCUUUUUGUUGUUUUUUUUUGGGGGGAGCAUCCCCUUUUUUCUUUUUUUUUUGGAGGGGGAGCAUCCCAUCACCUUUUUAUUUUGUUGGGGAGCAUCCCUUCCCUUUAAUUUUCGGGGGGGAGCAUCCCUUCCCUUUUAUUUUCAGAGGGGGAGCAUCCCUUCCCUUCCCUUUUGGCAGGGGCAGCAUCCCUUCCCUUUUGAUUUUGCAGGGGGAGCACCCCUUCCCUUCUUGUUUUUUUGGGGGAGGAGCACCCCUUUUUCCUUUUUUUUUUUUUUGGAGGGGGAGCACCCCUUCCCUUUUAUUUUUAAUGUGGGAACAUCCCUUCCCUUUUUAUUUUUGGAGGGGAGCAUCCCCUCUCCGUACACGUCCCCCCCCAAGGGUGGUGAAGACAUACCCCAGAGGUGCCUCUCCCAAAAUUGUGGGUAGCCCCUGAAUGCUGCCCCAAAUGCGCCCCCUCCAUUUCUGCCUUCCCCCACCCCAUAAGGCCAACCGUCCUCCCAUAACCGCUCCCCACAACCAGGUGUCCCUCCCGUACCCGCUACCCACCCACCAUGCCCACGGGACGGGUGUCCCUCCCGAGGGCUGGGUGCCCCCGCCGCAUGUGCCCCCCCCCCCCAAGGGGUGUGCGUCCCCUCCUGCCACCUCACAGAAUCCCCCAGGGGUUUGGGGGCGACACAGGGAAGGGCCCCACUUUUUGGGGUGCUCACAAAGCGCUGCCACAUCCCCUGCCGUGAACAGCCAAGUGGGGGGGGGGAUACAGGCACACAGGCACCCCACGUCCAUGGGGCAGGGGAAAAAGGAUACCUAAUAGUGCGGGGGAGUUCCUGCCAACCGAAACGUCUCAGCGGGGCGAAGGGAAAAGCAGGAAAAAGAAACCCAGGAACUGUGACCCCUGGUGGGUAUUUAACAAGGUGUCAGGUCGAGGCAUUUUCGGAGCCCUCUAAGUGGAUGUGACACCGGCCCCAUGCCCCGGGCUGGGGCGCAGGAGGGUCGGGCGGCAGGGAUGCGCCCACCGCCGCGAGGUCUCAUCCUGCCCCAGCUGGAAGGAGCUGGGGACCCCCCCCCCCGUGAGCGGUGCCAGCCGCCGGGUGUGGGGUCCCGCAGUGGCGGGGAGGACGGGGCAGGGGUCCCGGGGCCGGCCAGCCUGCCCGGCGCCCCCGCCGCAUGGGAAGCGGGCACGGUUUAAUAGGGCCGGCUGCUGGCAGGAGGACACAAGCGCUUUUGUCUCCGCUCCCGCUCCCGGCACCGGCUGGGGCUGGCAGGGCCCGGGGCGGUUCAGCCACCGAGAGCCGAGCUCGCCACCGGGGCGAGCGGCCAAACCCGCCCCGGCUGCUCGGGGUUUAACAGGCCCUCAGCGCACGCGAGGAAGCGCCCAGGCGGCCGGCGAGGCCGGGUAGGUGUUGGGGAACGGAGCAGGCCCUGUUCGGAGCCCCACGGCCCUGCCUGUGCCCCCUUUUUGCCAGCGGAGCUAGCAGCAGCAGGAGAGACCCUGCCCUUCCCCAGCCGGGGGUACUGGGGCAGCAGGGACGUGAAAGCAGCCGGGCUUCUGCUAGCUAAAAAAAAAAAAAAAAACAGCCACUGCUUUUGGGUCCCUGCUCCGCUCACACCCCCUUGUUCUGCCCUCCCCAGGUGAUGGGGAGCUGUCCUGGCCGUCCCCUCCAGGGACACGUCCCCAUUUGCAGCUCAGCCCCUCGAAGCCACCCCUGGAUCAGAGGCCGCCGCAAGCAAAGGCAGCCGGAUCCCUUCUUCCAGGCCCCGACACCAAAGCCCCAUCUGCGAAAGGGCCGCAGCAGGGAGGAGAUGCUGCU
Long non-coding RNA from Anser cygnoides (Swan goose), 1929 nucleotides. NCBI's taxonomy places the organism in Eukaryota, Metazoa, Chordata, Aves, Anseriformes, Anatidae. The record is from Ensembl.